This 455-nucleotide transfer RNA is filed under the name uncultured bacterium. RNAcentral describes it as "16S-23S ribosomal RNA intergenic spacer". The stretch from base 132 to 206 matches the Rfam family "tRNA". The record is from RNAcentral.
CUAAGGAAGCGAAGGAUAUGGAGAGCAGGAAUGCUAAGGGAAGUAUCCAGAGCAAGCGGAAGCACACUGAGAAACUUUGUUUAGUUUUGAGGGUAGUACCUCAAAGAUUUGAAAAACGCCAAGCGUUAGUCGGGCCUAUAGCUCAGCUGGUUUAGAGCGCACGCCUGAUAAGCGUGAGGUCGAUGGUUCAAGUCCAUUUAGGCCCAUUGACAUAACGAAGAAAAAGAGUUAAAGUUAUGUCUGGCCGAAAAUAAAAUACUCUGGGGGCUUAGCUCAGUUGGGAGAGCACCUGCUUUGCACGCAGGAGGUCAUCGGUUCGAACCCGUUAGCCUCCAUUGAUCCAGAAAAAGGAUCAAAGAGCUAGUACAUUGAAAACUGAAUAUAAUCCAAGCAAAAAACCGAGACAAUCAAAGAGAACAGAUUGUAGAGCGACCGAGAAGAGAAUUCUUGAGUAA